Long non-coding RNA from Bubalus bubalis (water buffalo), 369 nucleotides. RefSeq lists it as uncharacterized. The transcript has 3 exons. Lineage: Eukaryota; Metazoa; Chordata; Mammalia; Artiodactyla; Bovidae. The record is from RefSeq and is a predicted model, not a curated record.
GAAAGGGGACAGUAUAUCCUGCCCUGGACAUGAGACUGACAGUGGGACGGCCACUCUGGGACAUGUGGAAACACGGAGAGGACGACGGAAGGACUGGCAGAUGAGACUUGGAGACGUUCUGCAAUCAGAAAGCGGAGGUCAAGGAUCUUGGAUUCCCUGAGUGCAGGUGAGAGGAGAGCCUGGAAGAGGAACCUCUCUUGAUUCUGCCUCUGCAGUGCCGGAAUCACCAAGUCUCAUCACUUGGGGAAGCAUCAAGGAGCCCCUCCUCUCUGAUGUUUUUCUAUCCUGUUAGAUACAUCAGUUCAGCUGUCAUGAAUGGAUGUGAAAGUUGGGCCAUAAAGAAGGCUGAACACCAAAGAACUGAUGCUU